Molecule: ribosomal RNA, 1470 nt
Filed under: Salinicola sp.
Lineage: Bacteria; Pseudomonadati; Pseudomonadota; Gammaproteobacteria; Oceanospirillales; Halomonadaceae
Description: bacterial SSU rRNA
Rfam family: Bacterial small subunit ribosomal RNA
Source: RNAcentral
UAGAGUUUGAUCCUGGCUCAGAUUGAACGCUGGCGGCAGGCCUAACACAUGCAAGUCGAGCGGCAGCACAGGGAGCUUGCUCCCUGGUGGCGAGCGGCGGACGGGUGAGUAAUGCAUAGGAAUCUGCCCGGUAGUGGGGGAUAACGUGGGGAAACCCACGCUAAUACCGCAUACGUCCUACGGGAGAAAGCAGGGGAUCUUCGGACCUUGCGCUAUCGGAUGAGCCUAUGUCGGAUUAGCUAGUUGGUAAGGUAACGGCUUACCAAGGCGACGAUCCGUAGCUGGUCUGAGAGGAUGAUCAGCCACACUGGGACUGAGACACGGCCCAGACUCCUACGGGAGGCAGCAGUGGGGAAUAUUGGACAAUGGGCGAAAGCCUGAUCCAGCCAUGCCGCGUGUGUGAAGAAGGCUUUCGGGUUGUAAAGCACUUUCAGCGAGGAAGAAAGCCUCUGGGUUAAUACUCCAGAGGAAGGACAUCACUCGCAGAAGAAGCACCGGCUAACUCCGUGCCAGCAGCCGCGGUAAUACGGAGGGUGCGAGCGUUAAUCGGAAUUACUGGGCGUAAAGCGCGCGUAGGUGGCUUGGCACGCCGGUUGUGAAAGCCCCGGGCUCAACCUGGGAACGGCAUCCGGAACGGCCAGGCUAGAGUGCAGGAGAGGAAGGUAGAAUUCCCGGUGUAGCGGUGAAAUGCGUAGAGAUCGGGAGGAAUACCAGUGGCGAAGGCGGCCUUCUGGCCUGACACUGACACUGAGGUGCGAAAGCGUGGGUAGCAAACAGGAUUAGAUACCCUGGUAGUCCACGCCGUAAACGAUGUCGACUAGCCGUUGGGACCUUUAAGGACUUAGUGGCGCAGUUAACGCGAUAAGUCGACCGCCUGGGGAGUACGGCCGCAAGGUUAAAACUCAAAUGAAUUGACGGGGGCCCGCACAAGCGGUGGAGCAUGUGGUUUAAUUCGAUGCAACGCGAAGAACCUUACCUACCCUUGACAUCCAGAGAAGUUGGCAGAGAUGCCUUCGUGCCUUCGGGAACUCUGAGACAGGUGCUGCAUGGCUGUCGUCAGCUCGUGUUGUGAAAUGUUGGGUUAAGUCCCGUAACGAGCGCAACCCUUGUCCUUAUUUGCCAGCGAGUAAUGUCGGGAACUCUAAGGAGACUGCCGGUGACAAACCGGAGGAAGGUGGGGACGACGUCAAGUCAUCAUGGCCCUUACGGGUAGGGCUACACACGUGCUACAAUGGCCGGUACAAAGGGUUGCGAGACCGCGAGGUGGAGCGAAUCCCAGAAAGCCGGCCUCAGUCCGGAUCGGAGUCUGCAACUCGACUCCGUGAAGUCGGAAUCGCUAGUAAUCGUGAAUCAGAAUGUCACGGUGAAUACGUUCCCGGGCCUUGUACACACCGCCCGUCACACCAUGGGAGUGGACUGCACCAGAAGUGGUUAGCUUAACCUUCGGGAGAGCGAUCACCACGGUGUGUC